GACAGGUCUGGUUCAAGGGGGGA
Molecule: non-coding RNA, 23 nt
Filed under: Cricetulus griseus (Chinese hamster)
Lineage: Eukaryota; Metazoa; Chordata; Mammalia; Rodentia; Cricetidae
Source: RNAcentral